RNAcentral lists this ribosomal RNA (253 nucleotides) under uncultured bacterium. Its description in RNAcentral is "partial 16S ribosomal RNA". It matches the Rfam family "Bacterial small subunit ribosomal RNA", at positions 524 to 776 of the family's 1533-position model. The record is from RNAcentral.
UACGUAGGGGGCAAGCGUUGUCCGGAUUUAUUGGGCGUAAAGAGCGUGUAGGCGGCCUGACAGGUCUGCUGUGAAAACUCGAGGCUCAACCUCGAGAUGUCGGCGGAAACCGUCUGGCUAGAGUCCGGAAGAGGAGAGUGGAAUUCCUGGUGUAGCGGUGAAAUGCGCAGAUAUCAGGAAGAACACCCGUGGCGAAGGCGGCUCUCUGGGACGGUACUGACGCUGAGACGCGAAAGCAUGGGGAGCGAACAGG